CAGGGGGGGGUGCUAAUACAUGCAAGUCGAGCGGACCGACGGGAGCUUGCUCCCUUAGGUCAGCGGCGGACGGGUGAGUAACACGUGGGUAACCUGCCUGUAAGACUGGGAUAACUCCGGGAAACCGGGGCUAAUACCGGAUGCUUGAUUGAACCGCAUGGUUCAAUCAUAAAAGGUGGCUUUUAGCUACCACUUGCAGAUGGACCCGCGGCGCAUUAGCUAGUUGGUGAGGUAACGGCUCACCAAGGCGACGAUGCGUAGCCGACCUGAGAGGGUGAUCGGCCACACUGGGACUGAGACACGGCCCAGACUCCUACGGGAGGCAGCAGUAGGGAAUCUUCCGCAAUGGACGAAAGUCUGACGGAGCAACGCCGCGUGAGUGAUGAAGGUUUUCGGAUCGUAAAACUCUGUUGUUAGGGAAGAACAAGUACCGUUCGAAUAGGGCGGCACCUUGACGGUACCUAACCAGAAAGCCACGGCUAACUACGUGCCAGCAGCCGCGGUAAUACGUAGGUGGCAAGCGUUGUCCGGAAUUAUUGGGCGUAAAGCGCGCGCAGGCGGUUUCUUAAGUCUGAUGUGAAAGCCCCCGGCUCAACCGGGGAGGGUCAUUGGAAACUGGGGAACUUGAGUGCAGAAGAGGAGAGUGGAAUUCCACGUGUAGCGGUGAAAUGCGUAGAGAUGUGGAGGAACACCAGUGGCGAAGGCGACUCUCUGGUCUGUAACUGACGCUGAGGCGCGAAAGCGUGGGGAGCGAACAGGAUUAGAUACCCUGGUAGUCCACGCCGUAAACGAUGAGUGCUAAGUGUUAGAGGGUUUCCGCCCUUUAGUGCUGCAGCAAACGCAUUAAGCACUCCGCCUGGGGAGUACGGUCGCAAGACUGAAACUCAAAGGAAUUGACGGGGGCCCGCACAAGCGGUGGAGCAUGUGGUUUAAUUCGAAGCAACGCGAAGAACCUUACCAGGUCUUGACAUCCUCUGACAACCCUAGAGAUAGGGCUUCCCCUUCGGGGGCAGAGUGACAGUG
This 1023-nucleotide ribosomal RNA is filed under the name Bacillus licheniformis. RNAcentral describes it as "bacterial SSU rRNA". It matches the Rfam family "Bacterial small subunit ribosomal RNA", at positions 36 to 1039 of the family's 1533-position model. The record is from RNAcentral. Lineage: Bacteria; Bacillati; Bacillota; Bacilli; Caryophanales; Bacillaceae.